Molecule: ribosomal RNA, 517 nt
Filed under: uncultured Staphylococcus sp.
Lineage: Bacteria; Bacillati; Bacillota; Bacilli; Caryophanales; Staphylococcaceae
Description: bacterial SSU rRNA
Rfam family: Bacterial small subunit ribosomal RNA
Source: RNAcentral
AGAGUUUGAUCCUGGCUCAGGAUGAACGCUGGCGGCGUGCCUAAUACAUGCAAGUCGAGCGAACAGAUAAGGAGCUUGCUCCUUUGAAGUUAGCGGCGGACGGGUGAGUAACACGUGGGUAACCUACCUAUAAGACUGGGAUAACUUCGGGAAACCGGAGCUAAUACCGGAUAACAUUUAGAACCGCAUGGUUCUAAAGUGAAAGAUGGUUUUGCUAUCACUUAUAGAUGGACCCGCGCCGUAUUAGCUAGUUGGUAAGGUAACGGCUUACCAAGGCGACGAUACGUAGCCGACCUGAGAGGGUGAUCGGCCACACUGGAACUGAGACACGGUCCAGACUCCUACGGGAGGCAGCAGUAGGGAAUCUUCCGCAAUGGGCGAAAGCCUGACGGAGCAACGCCGCGUGAGUGAUGAAGGGUUUCGGCUCGUAAAACUCUGUUAUUAGGGAAGAACAAAUGUAUAAGUAACUGUGCACAUCUUGACGGUACCUAAUCAGAAAGCCACGGCUAACUACGUG